This 160-nucleotide ribosomal RNA is filed under the name uncultured bacterium. RNAcentral describes it as "partial 16S ribosomal RNA". It matches the Rfam family "Bacterial small subunit ribosomal RNA", at positions 355 to 507 of the family's 1533-position model. The record is from RNAcentral.
UGGGGAAUAUUGGACAAUGGGCGAAAGCCUGAUCCAGCCAUACCGCGUGGGUGAAGAAGGCCUUCGGGUUGUAAAGCCCUCUUGUUGGGAAAGAAAUCCAGCUGGUUAAUACCCGGUUGGGAUGACGGUACCCAAAGAAUAAGCACCGGCCAACUUCGUG